GGGGAUGUCGCAUAGCGGCAAUUGCAACAGACUGUAAAUCUGUCCUCUUCGGAGUUCGGUGGUUCGAGUCCACCCAUCCCCA
Molecule: transfer RNA, 82 nt
Filed under: Prevotellaceae bacterium
Lineage: Bacteria; Pseudomonadati; Bacteroidota; Bacteroidia; Bacteroidales; Prevotellaceae
Description: tRNA-Tyr
Rfam family: tRNA
About the family: Transfer RNA (tRNA) molecules are approximately 80 nucleotides in length. Their secondary structure includes four short double-helical elements and three loops (D, anti-codon, and T loops).
Source: RNAcentral